Molecule: ribosomal RNA, 372 nt
Filed under: uncultured organism
Description: partial 16S ribosomal RNA
Rfam family: Bacterial small subunit ribosomal RNA
Source: RNAcentral
AGAGGGUGCAAGCGUUAAUCGGAAUUACUGGGCGUAAAGGGCGCGUAGGUUGGACUUCAAGUUGGAUGUGAAAGCCCCGGGCUCAACCUGGGAUGGUCAUCCGAGACUGAAGACCUAGAGUACGGUAGAGGGAAGUGGAAUUUCCGGCGUAGCGGUGAAAUGCGUAGAUAUCGGAAGGAACACCAGUGGCGAAGGCGACUUCCUGGACUGAUACUGACACUGAGGCGCGAAAGCGUGGGUAGCGAACAGGAUUAGAUACCCUGGUAGUCCACGCCGUAAACGAUGAGAACUAGCCCGUUGGUUGAUUAAAAUCGAUUAGUGGCGCAGCAAACGCAUUAAGUUCUCCGCCUGGGGAGUACGGCCGCAAGGUUA